AGUGGGAUAGCUGGGUCAAAAGGUUGUUCCAUUUCCAGUUUUCAAAGGAAACUCCAUACUGCUUUCCAUAUUGGCUAUACCAAUUUGCAGUCCCACAAGCAGU
This 103-nucleotide microRNA precursor is filed under the name Marmota monax (woodchuck). The record is from RNAcentral. Lineage: Eukaryota; Metazoa; Chordata; Mammalia; Rodentia; Sciuridae.